Molecule: RNase P RNA, 395 nt
Filed under: uncultured Bombella sp.
Lineage: Bacteria; Pseudomonadati; Pseudomonadota; Alphaproteobacteria; Acetobacterales; Acetobacteraceae
Description: Bacterial RNase P class A
Rfam family: Bacterial RNase P class A
About the family: Ribonuclease P (RNase P) is a ubiquitous endoribonuclease, found in archaea, bacteria and eukarya as well as chloroplasts and mitochondria. Its best characterised activity is the generation of mature 5'-ends of tRNAs by cleaving the 5'-leader elements of precursor-tRNAs.
Source: RNAcentral
AGAUGGUCGGGCGGUCGCUGUAUUUUUCAUAAAAUAUGGAGGAAAGUCCGGGCUCCACAGGAAAACGGUGCCGGCUAACGGCCGGCGGGGGCGACCCUAGGGACAGUGCCACAGAAACAAAACCGUUCGCCUAUCUCUGCAUUUAUGCAGAGAUGCGAAUAAGGGUGAAACGGUGCGGUAAGAGCGCACCGCGCGCCUGGCAACAGGAGCGGUCAUGGUAAACCCCACCGGGAGCAAGACCGAAUAGGAGUGACAAGCCAAUUUAUGGCUAAGGGGUCCUGCCCUGUCAUUCGGGUUGGUUGCGUGAGGUGUAUUGUAAAAUACAUCCCAGAGGAAUGAUCGCCCCAUCCCAUACUAAAUGGGAUAGGACAGAACCCGGCUUACAGACCAUCUGG